UGACUACCAUGAAGAUUAUCAAAGUUAUCAAAUGUUACAAACAUGUUACAAACGUAUAAUUAUCAAAGUUGUCGUUCAAUGGAGUCUCAUCCACGCUCCCUGCAUUUGCAUUUUUGAUCUAUAGGGAAACAAAUAUUAUAUUAAACAAUAACUUAAACAGUGUAUAAAACUUAACACCAACUUACCUGUGAAAUCGGCUUAAGCUUAAGAACAAAAUAGACAAGCGUGAAGAAACAGAGACCACAGCAACACGAUGUAAAGAACACAAUUAUAAAGUAGACAUAAUACUGAGCCAUCAUUACUUUACAAGAAGUCGGACUAAGGGAAUAAGAGGUCCAACCUAUAAAAUAAAUAAAUAUUUAAUGCUCUUUAUUGUACUAAAUAUUGCUGGAAAAUGUUUGUAGAUGUAUUGUAUCAACAUUGGAUGAGAAAGUUGGAUUUUCGUAAUUCAUUUUACAUUUAAGAGUUUUCUUUAUUCUGAUUGGUUGAGCAAGUGGUCUGUGGGCCUCUUAUAGUUAAAAUUAAUCGAGAUUGAGAUUACAUCGUAGGUUGGUUGAAAAAAAAACAGACACAUACACAAAACGUUGGAGGCGUAUCGUUUUCCAUGUAGAUUGGAUGAAGCAAUUGAAUAAAACUUAAAACGACAAGCUUGCGAUUUUGUGUAAAAUCAAUGGAUUGCGUUUGUUCUAAAAUUGUUGUAAAGAAACGUAGGAUUAAAAUCAUCGUUACCGGUAAUUUAAUCUACCCGUGAAAUUCUACACGCCAUAAUCUACCAGUACCAAGAGCAGUAUUCGGCCGGUAUCAGAAGAUAAUAGCCUUAGCUUCCAGUUGACCAAUAUCAUCAAAAAUAGACUUUGCCUCCAGGUCAUUUUUGUGACCUAGUAAAAACUUCCCCACACAGAUCUUGAAGACGAUAACCAAGAAAGUUCAGCAGAGCCCAGCAUCAACGAGAAUAUUGACAGAACAAAACAUACAGCAAUUGAAACAACAGCGAUUUUGAACAAUAAAAAAAGAACAACGAGUGUUUAAAAUGACGACGAUCAUACGUGUCAACAGAUAGCCAUAACUUACAAAUAACGGUUUCUCAUAUAAUACAGCAACGAUUCCCAACAGAGCACUAAGCAUCAGCUAUAAUAAAACAACAACAGAUCAUUAUUAAAAUGAAUUUAUUAUCAAAAAACUACUUUAAGAGCAGAAUAUGAAUGCAUUAUUUACUAUUUAUACUUAAAUGUGCAUUUAAGCGUAAACUCCUCAACAAUGUGGACGUGAUUUAUUUGUGUAAAAGAUACGAAGAUGAUUUUGUUAACAAAGCGAAGUUAUUACAGCAAAGGUUCAAGAAUGUUCUUAUAACUGUUACAUAAAAAAAUAAACGCCGCAGAUCGUUAAAUCGCUUCUGCUAAGACAGUAA
Xenia sp. Carnegie-2017 is the source of this 1408-nucleotide long non-coding RNA. RefSeq lists it as uncharacterized. Lineage: Eukaryota; Metazoa; Cnidaria; Anthozoa; Malacalcyonacea; Xeniidae. The transcript has 2 exons. The record is from RefSeq and is a predicted model, not a curated record.